RNAcentral lists this ribosomal RNA (468 nucleotides) under uncultured bacterium. Its description in RNAcentral is "partial 16S ribosomal RNA". It matches the Rfam family "Bacterial small subunit ribosomal RNA", at positions 28 to 507 of the family's 1533-position model. The record is from RNAcentral.
GACGAACGCUGGCGGCGUGCUUAACACAUGCAAGUCGAACGGAAAGGCCCUGCUUUUGUGGGGUGCUCGAGUGGCGAACGGGUGAGUAACACGUGAGUAACCUGCCCUUGACUUUGGGAUAACUUCAGGAAACUGGGGCUAAUACCGGAUAGGAGCUCCUGCUGCAUGGUGGGGGUUGGAAAGUUUCGGCGGUUGGGGAUGGACUCGCGGCUUAUCAGCUUGUUGGUGGGGUAGUGGCUUACCAAGGCUUUGACGGGUAGCCGGCCUGAGAGGGUGACCGGCCACAUUGGGACUGAGAGACGGCCCAGACUCCUACGGGAGGCAGCAGUGGGGAAUAUUGCACAAUGGGCGGAAGCCCGAUGCAGCAACGCCGCGUGCGGGAUGACGGCCUUCGGGUUGUAAACCGCUUUCGCCUGCGACGAAGCGUGAGUGACGGUAAUGGGUAAAGAAGCACCGGCUAACUACGUG